RNAcentral lists this ribosomal RNA (226 nucleotides) under uncultured bacterium. Its description in RNAcentral is "partial 16S ribosomal RNA". It matches the Rfam family "Bacterial small subunit ribosomal RNA", at positions 538 to 763 of the family's 1533-position model. The record is from RNAcentral.
GCGUUGUUCGGAGUUACUGGGCGUAAAGGGUGUGUAGGCGGUUCUCUAAGUUUGGUGUGAAAUCUCCCGGCUCAACUGGGAGGGUGCGCCGAAAACUGGGGGGCUAGAGUGCGGGAUGGGAGAGUAGAAUUCCUGGUGUAGCGGUGAAAUGCGUAGAUAUCAGGAGGAAUACCUGUGGUGUAGACGGCUCUCUGGACCGUAACUGACGCUGAGACACGAAAGCGUG